GAUGAACGCUGGCGGCGUGCCUAACACAUGCAAGUCGAACGAAACUGCUUUAUUACCGUGUGCUUGCAGUCUCCGAUAAAGGGUUGAGUGACGAACGGAUGAGUAACUCGUGUUUAACCUGCCCUAACGAGGGGGAUGACACUAGCAAACAGGUGCUAAUACCGCAUAACCAUCGUUACCGCAUGGUAACUUUGUAAAAUGGGGCUACCCUACCUCAUUUGGUUGGUUGGGCGGCGCAUUAGCUAGCUGGUAGGGUAAAGGCUUACCAAGGCAAUGACGCGUAGACGAAGUGAGAGGUUGAUAGGCCACAUUGGAACGUGGACACGGACCAGACUCCUAAGGGAGGCAGCAGUCGGGAAUGUUCGACAAUGGGCGGAAGCCUGAUACAGCGAGGCCGAGUGGGUGAAGAAGGCCUUCGGUUCGUAAAGCCCUGUUGUUGGGGAAGAAAGUCAGUGGGAGUAAACGAAGCCGUUGUGACGGUAUCGAACCAAGAAGCAACGGCUAACUACGUG
RNAcentral lists this ribosomal RNA (512 nucleotides) under uncultured bacterium. RNAcentral describes it as "partial 16S ribosomal RNA". It matches the Rfam family "Bacterial small subunit ribosomal RNA", at positions 28 to 507 of the family's 1533-position model. The record is from RNAcentral.